RNAcentral lists this ribosomal RNA (800 nucleotides) under uncultured bacterium. RNAcentral's name for it is "bacterial SSU rRNA". It matches the Rfam family "Bacterial small subunit ribosomal RNA", at positions 8 to 789 of the family's 1533-position model. The record is from RNAcentral.
AGAGUUUGAUCCUGGCUCAGGACGAACGCUGGCGGCGUGCCUAAUACAUGCAAGUCGAGCGGACAUCUUAAAAGCUUGCUUUUGAGAUGUCAGCGGCGGACGGGUGAGUAACACGUGGGCAACCUGCCUGUAAGACUGGGAUAACUCCGGGAAACCGGGGCUAAUACCGGAUAGUUUUUCUCCUUGCAUAAGGAGAAAGGGAAAGACGGUUUCGGCUGUCACUUACAGAUGGGCCCGCGGCGCAUUAGCUAGUUGGUGAGGUAACGGCUCACCAAGGCGACGAUGCGUAGCCGACCUGAGAGGGUGAUCGGCCACACUGGGACUGAGACACGGCCCAGACUCCUACGGGAGGCAGCAGUAGGGAAUCUUCCGCAAUGGACGAAAGUCUGACGGAGCAACGCCGCGUGAACGAUGAAGGCCUUCGGGUCGUAAAGUUCUGUUGUUAGGGAAGCACAAGUACCAGAGUAACUGCUGGUACCUUGACGGUACCUAACCAGAAAGCCACGGCUAACUACGUGCCAGCAGCCGCGGUAAUACGUAGGUGGCAAGCGUUGUCCGGAAUUAUUGGGCGUAAAGCGCGCGCAGGCGGUCCUUUAAGUCUGAUGUGAAAGCCCACGGCUCAACCGUGGAGGGUCAUUGGAAACUGGGGGACUUGAGUGCAGAAGAGGAAAGCGGAAUUCCACGUGUAGCGGUGAAAUGCGUAGAGAUGUGGAGGAACACCAGUGGCGAAGGCGGCUUUCUGGUCUGUAACUGACGCUGAGGCGCGAAAGCGUGGGGAGCAAACAGGAUUAGAUACCCUG